UGCACUUUCUUCCUUACUGCAAGAAACUGAGCUUACACCUGAGCAGCGCCUCAUGGUUGAGACAAUCCUUAAGAGUAGUAACCUCUUGGCUACUCUAAUAAAUGAUGUAUUAGACCUUUCAAGGCUUGAAGAUGGCAGCCUUCAACUUGACCUAGGAACUUUUAAUCUUCACGCUGUAUUCUGGGAGGUUCUUAACUUGAUCAAGCCUAUUGCAUCUGUUAAAAAGUUGCCUGUUACUUUAAAUUUAGCUCCAGAUUUGCCAGAAUAUGCCAUUGGUGAUGAGAAACGUCUUAUGCAAACCAUUUUAAAUGUUGUUGGUAAUGCUGUGAAGUUCUCUAAAGAAGGCAACAUCUCAAUAACUGCUUUUGUUGCUAGACCAGAAUCAUUAAGAGAUCUUCGGUUUCCUGAUUUUUUCCCAGUGCCAAGUGAUAGUCACUUUUAUUUGUGUGUACAGGUAAAAGAUGAGGGACUAGGAAUAAACCCCCAAGAUAUUUCUAAGUUGUUUACUAAAUUUGCACAAAGUCAAUCUUCGGCAACUGGAAAUUCCAGUGGCAGUGGACUUGGCCUUGCAAUUUGU
Molecule: unclassified non-coding RNA, 577 nt
Filed under: Hevea brasiliensis (rubber tree)
Lineage: Eukaryota; Viridiplantae; Streptophyta; Magnoliopsida; Malpighiales; Euphorbiaceae
Source: RNAcentral